GUUUUAAUCUCAAAGCUUCAUAGUUUUAUGUUUAAGUCCAUGACCCAUUUUGAGUUAAUACUUGUGUAAGGUGUGAAGUUUACCUAGAGAUUCAUUUUCUUGCCUAUGAAUGAGAGACUAAUUUUUAGAACCUCUUAUUUGAAUGUAUUUAUUGCGCUUCUUUUUUUGUUUUUAGUACAGAUGGGGUCUCGCUGUGUUGCCCAGGCUGGGUGCCAACUCCUGGCCUCAAGUGAUCCUCCUGACCAAGCCUCUUUCAGUAUCUCAGUAUGGAGGGGCUCCAGAUGGAUCCAAAUAAGGAACUGUGAACGUUCAUAUUUUAAACAUUAAACUGUUUCACCAAGUUUCUUGAUGAAAAGAUCAAAUGCAGGCAAGAUUAUUAAUCACAAGAUACUUUAUUCUAAA
RNAcentral lists this long non-coding RNA (402 nucleotides) under Pan troglodytes (chimpanzee). Its description in RNAcentral is "long non-coding RNA NONPTRT010969". The record is from RNAcentral. Lineage: Eukaryota; Metazoa; Chordata; Mammalia; Primates; Hominidae.